AAUUACAACUUAGUGAUGAUAUUGAAGAAGAUGAUCUUGAAUACUACUUGAGUGAUCGUCGUGAGAAACUUGAUCCUACCUUUGAUAUUCUACGAUGGUGGAAACAGAAUGGAUUCAAGUAUCCAAUAGUUGCGCGCAUGGCAAAAGAUGUAUUGGCUGUUCAGAUGUCUACAGUAGCAUCUGAAUCAGCUUUUUCUACUGGGGGAAGAAUCUUAGAUUCAUUUAGGAGUUCCUUAUCCCCGAGGAUGGUGGAGGCUUUGAUUUGUUCUAAAAAUUGGUAUACUUGUGAGUCUGAAGAGCCUGUUGUGCUUCGACAAUACAUGGAUGAGAUUGAUGGUUUAGAGGCAUGUGAAUAAGUUUUUCCAGGUAUUUAUUUACUUAAUAGCUUAUUCUAAUUGAAAUAUUAUAUAUAUAUUAUAGCUUAUUUGUAUUAAUUGAAUAUUUGUCAUGUGAUGGCUCGUGUAUUACCUAUGUACCUGAGAAUCUUGGCAGUGGGUCUGGGAGUGGGACCGAUAAGAACAAUUGAAAUCUCAAGGAGCAGGUGGUCAUGGUUGCUUGAUGCAGGCCAUGAAAUGAAUGAAUGCUGGAUUUUGGAUUGGACUUUGUUUUCUAUCUAUUCUUUUGAAAUUUGAACUUGAUUUGUGUUGUUGUAGUCGAUUAGACUUAGAUUUAAUUUGUGUUGUAAUGGACUAUGGACUAUGGACUUUAAGUUUAAACUUUAAUCAUGUGUUGAGAUUUGUGGUUGUAGUCUUUUGGUUUUAAAUUUUAAUUGGGUUGUGUCUUGGAUUGAACUAAUAGAUAUUGGAGUAUUAGACUUUUGAUGA
Humulus lupulus (European hop) is the source of this 824-nucleotide long non-coding RNA. RefSeq lists it as uncharacterized. The record is from RefSeq and is a predicted model, not a curated record. NCBI's taxonomy places the organism in Eukaryota, Viridiplantae, Streptophyta, Magnoliopsida, Rosales, Cannabaceae. The transcript has 2 exons.